GCACUCGUAGCUCAGCUGGAUAGAGCAUCGGAUUUCGAUUCCGAGGGUCGGGAGUUCGAAUCUCUCCGAGUGCGCCA
This 77-nucleotide transfer RNA is filed under the name Bradyrhizobium sp. Its description in RNAcentral is "tRNA-Arg". It matches the Rfam family "tRNA". Rfam says of the family: Transfer RNA (tRNA) molecules are approximately 80 nucleotides in length. Lineage: Bacteria; Pseudomonadati; Pseudomonadota; Alphaproteobacteria; Hyphomicrobiales; Nitrobacteraceae. RNAcentral also lists the same sequence under 30 other names. The record is from RNAcentral.